AUAAAUAACAAGACACUGAACGUAUCGUUGUCUGAAGAUCAGUUAACAGUUUCAGGAAAAUGCAGAAGAUAAAGUUGAAUAUGUCACGUUUAAUACUGUGCCAGGGUCGCUUUUCACCUGUAUGGUGGGGGGGGGGGGGGGGGGGGAGGUUAUGUUGCAAAUACUUUUAAAAAUAAUAAUCAUAUACCCACUUUUAAAAAUGGAGGUAAUCCACCUGAGUAUAAAACUGCCAUUGUUUGCUAAAGUGACUGAUGCUAACCCAAUGUACAUAUCCUGUAAAAGAUGAGGUCAUUGAAACAUGUUGGAAAAUUAUUGAAUAUGAUGUUAUUGCUGUCGGCUAUGAAAGUAACAUCCAUACUGUUAAUGUGUAAUGGUAACGUUUCUCCAUGCGGUGGCGUGAAAUAGAAGAGAAUAUGUUAGAUAGAGACAACACGAACUCAAAUAUGGUUACAUAUGUUCACUGGUGAUGACUGACCAGUAGCCAUGAAAUCAAGUAAUGAACUUGAGCCCCGAUAUAGCGCUCAAGACCAAACACGUCUGUCUGUCUCAGUGAUAAACAUUUCAAUCACUUACGCCCAUGACAGGCGUGUUUGGACAUUCAGUGGGUGUAAGCCUGUGUCAAGUGAUUGAUUUCGCCGUACAGAGACUAUAGCUGUCGCUCGUCAAGGCCAUACGUCUUCAUCGUGGCGAUUUUGUGGCAUCUGUCCUCCCACAUCACGCGAUCAGCCUGCACAUAGUCUUAAAAGACUGAGUCACUGUUUGGUCAAAUGCUUUGCGCCACAUCACUUUCCCUAUCAAAAGCAACUGAUCAGUUCCCUAUGAUGCACAUCCAAAGAAAGUUUGUUUGUUUUUGUGGGGGUUUGGAUUUGUUUUUGUUUUUUUAACGAGAUCACUGGAGCAAAUUGAUUUGUUAUUCAUCGGCUAGUGGAUGUCAAGCAUGUUUGGUAAUUUUGACGUAUAGUCUUAGAGAGGAAACUCGCUGCCUCUUUUCCAUUAGUAGCAAGGAUCUUUUAUAUGCACCAUCCCACAGACAGGAUAGCACAUACCACUAUACCACGGCCACUAUAACUACAUAACCACAGACGAGUACUACUCACCAGACCCGUUUUUAUGCUUAUUUUCAAUUAUUUUAUACUUUUCUACGUUUGUUUUCCUGGUCAAAAUGCCCCUUUUUUUAUGAGUCUCAAGUUCAAAGAGUAUCGGUUACGCAGAAAUAAAUCCAGGUAACCCAUUUCCUUUUGCAUAACCCGUUAUAUUCUGUAAAUUGUGCUCUAAAGUUUGCAAGAACACAAAAAUAGCUUUCGCAAAAUUAGAUUUGCACGAGCAACGCGCUAACAAAACGAUCGCUCUCGCAAGUUCCCGAGGCUGAUUUCCAUGUGCUUAAAGUGGACAGUUGAUCAAACAUGGCUAAUUUCUCACUCAGAUAGACUACCUCCAUGUUUUAUAGGGUUACCUAACAAUAUUAAUACUAACACUACACCCUAAAUUUAUGAAUUGAUUGUAUAUAUAUAUAUUUAAUAAAUAGUUUAUUGCCCCAGAAAUAUGAUAUGAUACAAAGUACAUAGUAAACAAUCAUUACAAAAUGUUAAUCUAAAAAUAAUGUACAUACUAAUCUAUAAAUAAUGUACAUACUAAUCUAUAAAUAAUGUACAUACUAAUCUAUAAAUAAUGUACAUACUAAUCUAUAAAUAAUGUACAUACUAAUCUAUAAAAAAUGUACAUACUAAUCUAUAAAAAAUGUACAUACUAAUCUAUAAAUAAUGUACAUACUAAUCUAUAAAAAAGGAGCAGUGACAAAGGUAUAAAAAGAAGAUUGAAAAGAGAAAAGUAAAAAUGAUACGAUAGAUAUACUUCCAAACUGAUACGAUAGAUAUACUUCCAAACUGUCGUCAUACAUAAAUAUAUCACUUGUGACGUUCUGGAACUUUUAACCAAGGUUACGAUAGAUAUACUUCCAAACUGUCGUCAUACAUAAAUAUAUUACUUGUGACGUUCUGGAACCUUUAACCAAGGUUUCCAAUUAUCGUCGAAUUCUGUAUGUAAAUAGUUUUUGUAAUAUAUGUAUUUUUCUAUUUGUAACUAUCUUUAAUAAACAUUUUGAUACCA
This 2106-nucleotide long non-coding RNA is filed under the name Gigantopelta aegis. RNAcentral's name for it is "uncharacterized LOC121380190". The record is from RNAcentral. Lineage: Eukaryota; Metazoa; Mollusca; Gastropoda; Neomphalida; Peltospiridae.